This 503-nucleotide ribosomal RNA is filed under the name uncultured bacterium. RNAcentral's name for it is "partial 16S ribosomal RNA". It matches the Rfam family "Bacterial small subunit ribosomal RNA", at positions 30 to 523 of the family's 1533-position model. The record is from RNAcentral.
AUUGAACGCUGGCGGCAGGCUUAACACAUGCAAGUCGAGCGGGGUGAUGGUGCUUGCACUAUCACUUAGCGGCGGACGGGUGAGUAAUGCUUAGGAAUCUGCCUAUUAGUGGGGGACAACUUCUCGAAAGGGAUGCUAAUACCGCAUACGUCCUACGGGAGAAAGCAGGGGAUCACUUGUGACCUUGCGCUAAUAGAUGAGCCUAAGUCGGAUUAGCUAGUUGGUGGGGUAAAGGCCUACCAAGGCGACGAUCUGUAGCGGGUCUGAGAGGAUGAUCCGCCACACUGGGACUGAGACACGGCCCAGACUCCUACGGGAGGCAGCAAUGGGGAAUAUUGGACAAUGGGGGGAACCCUGAUCCAGCCAUGCCGCGUGUGUGAAGAAGGCCUUAUGGUUGUAAAGCACUUUAAGCGAGGAGGAGGCUCUUUUGGUUAAUACCCAAGAUGAGUGGACGUUACUCGCAGAAUAAGCACCGGCUAACUCUGUGCCAGCAGCCGCAGUAA